RNAcentral lists this long non-coding RNA (797 nucleotides) under Heterocephalus glaber (naked mole-rat). Its description in RNAcentral is "lncRNA (ENSHGLG00100044737.1)". The record is from RNAcentral. Lineage: Eukaryota; Metazoa; Chordata; Mammalia; Rodentia; Bathyergidae.
CACCAUCUUCCCUGGAACGCUGUCUGAGUGCGCCUGGGGGGCAUUCUGUGCAGCACUCUUCUGAGGGGGCUUCUUCUGGGAGCGGGCUGGGGGGCUCUUAAUCUUGGGAAGGGCACUCUGGAACUCCCCCAGCAAAUCUACUUUACCCACAGCAGAAUCAGUCUUCUUGGAAGGGGCAGGGGUCAGCCAAGACACCGCAGCUUUCUGGUCCAGGGACUGCUCUGAGCCGUCGCUCGAGGACGCUGGUUCUUUUUGUUCAGAAAUCCUCUCUGUUCCAAGAACCGUCGCCUCCUGACAAAAUUUCGAUGCUUGGCAUUUCCUUCUAAUGACUUUUUGGGAGGACAUUCCGCAAAAUCCAGAUUCAGGAGUAGAGCAGACAGGAGGACAGCAAACAGUGGGAAUGCAGGUGGGAAGAAUGGCUCACAGAUGACAGGAUAAGGUUCUCAUUCUCUGCUGAGUCCCUUCUACCAUGUGGAGGUCUGCGGAAAACCCUGAGGAGGAAAGUGAUCUCGGGAUCAAAUGCGGGAUACCUUUCGCUUGCGCGGCAGGCGGCGGAACCACUGAGCUAAAUCCCCAGCCCAAGACAGCCCUUUUAAACAAAUGGUGCUGGGAAAACUGAAUAUCUAAAUGCAGAAGAUUGAGUCUAGACCCAUAUAUUUCAUCAUGUACUAAACUAAAAUAAAAAUGGAUCAAAGAUCCAAAGGUUAAAACAGAAAUGCUUAAUCUUAUGGAAGAUAAAAUAGGUAAAACUCUUGAAGACAUAGGUGUAGGCAAACACUUUCUGAACAGAAUCCCAA